AAAAGUGGUCGAAGAUGGGAUUAUGUUAUCCGAGAUCUGGAACCCAUAUCCAAACAUGAUAUAAAACUGUGUGACUUCUCUUUAUGGGAGAGAUGGUUGAUGAUAACCAUAUCCUACAUGAUAUAAAACUGUUAUUGAGCUUAUCCAAGGGAGAUAAGGUGGUUCGGUAAGUUCCGACGCAUCCAACAAGAUGUAAAACUGGGUUCAUCUUAAAUGGGGUGAAUAGCAGCAUCCAACAUGAUGUAAAACUGGUU
This 254-nucleotide long non-coding RNA is filed under the name Trifolium pratense (red clover). RNAcentral's name for it is "long non-coding RNA (TPRA_LNC014167)". Lineage: Eukaryota; Viridiplantae; Streptophyta; Magnoliopsida; Fabales; Fabaceae. The record is from RNAcentral.